RNAcentral lists this ribosomal RNA (879 nucleotides) under uncultured bacterium. RNAcentral describes it as "bacterial SSU rRNA". It matches the Rfam family "Bacterial small subunit ribosomal RNA", at positions 23 to 892 of the family's 1533-position model. The record is from RNAcentral.
CUCAGGAUGAACGCUAGCUACAGGCUUAACACAUGCAAGUCGAGGGGAAACGACAUCGAAAGCUUGCUUUUGAUGGGCGUCGACCGGCGCACGGGUGAGUAACGCGUAUCCAACCUGCCCAUCACUUGGGGAUAACCUUGCGAAAGUAAGACUAAUACCCAAUGAUAUCUCUAGAAGACAUCUGAAAGAGAUUAAAGAUUUAUCGGUGAUGGAUGGGGAUGCGUCUGAUUAGCUUGUUGGCGGGGUAACGGCUCACCAAGGCGACGAUCAGUAGGGGUUCUGAGAGGAAGGUCCCCCACAUUGGAACUGAGACACGGUCCAAACUCCUACGGGAGGCAGCAGUGAGGAAUAUUGGUCAAUGGACGAGAGUCUGAACCAGCCAAGUAGCGUGCAGGAUGACGGCCCUAUGGGUUGUAAACUGCUUUUAUAAGGGAAUAAAGUGAGUCUCGUGAGACUUUUUGCAUGUACCUUAUGAAUAAGGACCGGCUAAUUCCGUGCCAGCAGCCGCGGUAAUACGGAAGGUCCGGGCGUUAUCCGGAUUUAUUGGGUUUAAAGGGAGCGUAGGCCGGAGAUUAAGCGUGUUGUGAAAUGUAGAUGCUCAACAUCUGAACUGCAGCGCGAACUGGUUUCCUUGAGUACGCACAAAGUGGGCGGAAUUCGUGGUGUAGCGGUGAAAUGCUUAGAUAUCACGAAGAACUCCGAUUGCGAAGGCAGCUCACUGGAGCGCAACUGACGCUGAAGCUCGAAAGUGCGGGUAUCGAACAGGAUUAGAUACCCUGGUAGUCCGCACGGUAAACGAUGGAUGCCCGCUGUUGGUCUGAAUAGGUCAGCGGCCAAGCGAAAGCAUUAAGCAUCCCACCUGGGGAGUACGCCGGCAAC